GGGCCUAUAGCUCAGUUGGCAGAGCCGCCGGCUCAUAACCGGCCGGUCCCAGGUUCGAGUCCUGGUGGGCCCACCA
RNAcentral lists this transfer RNA (76 nucleotides) under Desulfovibrio sp. RNAcentral describes it as "tRNA-Ile". It matches the Rfam family "tRNA". From Rfam's summary of the family: Transfer RNA (tRNA) molecules are approximately 80 nucleotides in length. Lineage: Bacteria; Pseudomonadati; Thermodesulfobacteriota; Desulfovibrionia; Desulfovibrionales; Desulfovibrionaceae. The record is from RNAcentral.